UACUGAUAUUGCUGCUGGUGCAGUUAUUGUGUGGCCCCUUGGUGUAUGAUGUGUAUGAUGGAUAAUGAUGUUGCGGUUGCUGGUUUCUUGUGUGUGGUGGGGGUUGGAGACGCAUAGGCAGUCGAAGUGGUUGAUGGAAUUUGGGAAAUUUUGGAACGUUACUUGCGCCGCCGGAGGUAUUGUGAAGUCGAUGUUGAUAUGGGUGUUGGUGAUGGUAUGGAUAUGAAUAUAAGCGUGACUUGCUACCAUUUGCUCCUCCACUAGUAGACAUGUCGUUGCACCUUUCGCUUGGGUCUUUCCCUUGAAAAUUAUUAUUAUGUGGCGCGGA
RNAcentral lists this small RNA (328 nucleotides) under Histoplasma capsulatum. Its description in RNAcentral is "hypothetical RNA". RNAcentral also lists the same sequence under 1 other name. Lineage: Eukaryota; Fungi; Ascomycota; Eurotiomycetes; Onygenales; Ajellomycetaceae. The record is from RNAcentral.